UAAUACCAGCUCUCCGAGGGUAGGGGUGAUUAUUGGGCUUAAAGCGUCCGUAGCCGGCCUGGCAAGUCUUCCGUUAAAUCCAGCAACCUAAUUGUUGGGCUGCGGGGGAAACUGUUCAGCUUGAGUACGGGAGAGGAGAGCGGAAUUCCCGGUGUAGAGGUGAAAUUCGUAGAUAUCGGGAGGAACACCAGUGGCGAAGGCGGUUCUCUGGCCCGAUACUGACGCUGAGACGCGAAAGCGUGGGGAGCAAACAGGAUUAGAUACCCUGGUAGUCCACGCCGUAAACGAUGGGCACUAGGUGUAGGAGGUACUGAAUCCUUCUGUGCCGAAGCUAACGCAUUAAGUGCCCCGCCUGGGGAGUACGGUCGCAAGGCUA
Molecule: ribosomal RNA, 376 nt
Filed under: uncultured bacterium
Lineage: Bacteria
Description: bacterial SSU rRNA
Rfam family: Bacterial small subunit ribosomal RNA
Source: RNAcentral